Molecule: ribosomal RNA, 498 nt
Filed under: Triticum aestivum (bread wheat)
Lineage: Eukaryota; Viridiplantae; Streptophyta; Magnoliopsida; Poales; Poaceae
Description: partial small subunit ribosomal RNA
Source: RNAcentral
AUGGCGUCCAAGCAGAUGCUCGUCGCCAUGUUCGCCGCGGCCGCCCUGGCCGUGGCCUUCCUCCCGGGCCUCGCCGUCGCCACGGAGCACAUGGUCGGCGACGAUAAGGGCUGGACCCUCAAUUUCAACUACACCGCCUGGGCCGACACCAAACAGUUCGUCGUCGGCGACACGCUAGUGUUCAAGUACAACAGCCCCGCCCACAAUCUGGUGGAGGUGGGCGGGCCGGACUUCCUCUCGUGCACCAAGCCGGCCAACGCCGUCGUCUUAACCACCGGCGAGGACCGGGUCACCCUCGACAAGGCCGGACGCAAGUGGUUCUUCUGCGCCGUCGGCCAGCACUGCCAGAACGGCAUGAAGCUCAAGAUCACCAUCCUCGAGACCGCCCCGCCGACUCCCCAGCCAGCCCCGACCAACCCUGCUGGCAAGCUGCAGGCGCGCUUCGGUGAGGCAGCGGCCGCGAUCACUGCGGUCGCCAUGGCCGUGCUCGUGCUCUAG